AUUGAACGCUGGCGGCAGGCCUAACACAUGCAAGUCGAACGGUAACAGGAAACAGCUUGCUGUUUCGCUGACGAGUGGCGGACGGGUGAGUAAUGUCUGGGAAACUGCCUGAUGGAGGGGGAUAACUACUGGAAACGGUAGCUAAUACCGCAUAACGUCGCAAGACCAAAGAGGGGGACCUUAGGGCCUCUUGCCAUCGGAUGUGCCCAGAUGGGAUUAGCUAGUAGGUGGGGUAACGGCUCACCUAGGCGACGAUCCCUAGCUGGUCUGAGAGGAUGACCAGCCACACUGGAACUGAGACACGGUCCAGACUCCUACGGGAGGCAGCAGUGGGGAAUAUUGCACAAUGGGCGCAAGCCUGAUGCAGCCAUGCCGCGUGUAUGAAGAAGGCCUUCGGGUUGUAAAGUACUUUCAGCGGGGAGGAAGGGAGUAAAGUUAAUACCUUUGCUCAUUGACGUUACCCGCAGAAGAAGCACCGGCUAACUCCGUGCCAGCAGCCGCGGUAAUACGGAGGGUGCAAGCGUUAAUCGGAAUUACUGGGCGUAAAGCGCACGCAGGCGGUUUGUUAAGUCAGAUGUGAAAUCCCCGGGCUCAACCUGGGAACUGCAUCUGAUAUUGGCAAGCUUGAGUCUCGUAGAGGGGGGUAGAAUUCCAGGUGUAGCGGUGAAAUGCGUAGAGAUCUGGAGGAAUACCGGUGGCCGAAUGCUGCCCCCCUGGGCGAAUACUGACUCUUCUUGUGCGAAAAUCGUGGGGAUCAAACAGGAUUUAUACCCUCGCACCCUUAGGGGCGAAUUCCUCGUUGGAUAUUGGGUGUAUCUAUUCCGCCGAACUUAAAGAGAAGAGCAGAGAACUAGUUUUUGUUCUCUUGUAGUCGGGUCUCAUUAACCU
Molecule: ribosomal RNA, 888 nt
Filed under: uncultured Actinomyces sp.
Lineage: Bacteria; Bacillati; Actinomycetota; Actinomycetes; Actinomycetales; Actinomycetaceae
Description: bacterial SSU rRNA
Rfam family: Bacterial small subunit ribosomal RNA
Source: RNAcentral